CAGCCGCCGCGGUAAUACAGAGGGUGCGAGCGUUAAUCGGAUUUACUGGGCGUAAAGCGUGCGUAGGCGGCUAAUUGAGUCGGAUGUGAAAUCCCCGAGCUUAACUUAGGAAUUGCAUUCGAUACUGGGAAGCUAGAGUAUGGGAGAGGAUGGUAGAAUUCCAGGUGUAGCGGUGAAAUGCGUAGAGAUCUGGAGGAAUACCGAUGGCGAAGGCAGCCAUCUGGCCUAAUACUGACGCUGAGGUACGAAAGCAUGGGGAGCAAACAGGAUUAGAUACCCGAGUAGUCCCUGUCUCUUAUAC
This 301-nucleotide ribosomal RNA is filed under the name uncultured bacterium. RNAcentral's name for it is "partial 16S ribosomal RNA". It matches the Rfam family "Bacterial small subunit ribosomal RNA", at positions 509 to 807 of the family's 1533-position model. The record is from RNAcentral.